RNAcentral lists this ribosomal RNA (460 nucleotides) under uncultured bacterium. RNAcentral describes it as "partial 16S ribosomal RNA". It matches the Rfam family "Bacterial small subunit ribosomal RNA", at positions 338 to 795 of the family's 1533-position model. The record is from RNAcentral.
CCUACGGGGGGCAGCAGUGAGGAAUAUUGGUCAAUGGACGCGAGUCUGAACCAGCCAUGCCGCGUGAAGGAUGACUGCUCUAUGGGUUGUAAACUGCUUUUGUAAAAGGAUAAAGGCAGAUACGCGUAUCUGUCUGAAAGUAUCGUACGAAUAAUGAUCGGCUAACUCCGUGCCAGCAGCCGCGGUAAUACGGAGGAUUCGAGCGUUAUCCGGAUUUAUUGGGUUUAAAGGGGGCGUAGGCGGUUGGAUAAGUUAGAGGUGAAAUCUUGAGGCUCAACUGCAGAAUUGCCUUUGAUACUGGUCGGCUAGAGAGUAGUUGAGGUAGGCGGAAUGCAUGGUGUAGCGGUGAAAUGCUUAGAGAUCAUACAGAACACCGAUUGCGAAGGCAGCUUACCAAGCUACCUCUGACGUUGAGGCACGAAAGCGUGGGGAGCAAACAGGAUUAGAUACCCUUGUAGUC